Camelina sativa (false flax) is the source of this 145-nucleotide non-coding RNA. Lineage: Eukaryota; Viridiplantae; Streptophyta; Magnoliopsida; Brassicales; Brassicaceae. The record is from RefSeq and is a predicted model, not a curated record.
UCAUUAUUCAGUCUUCAGUUAAGGGUCCUGGACAUAUUGAUUCGAGGGUUGAGUCUCUACUCAAGGACCUUGAGAGUAAACUUUACAAUAUAAGCGAUGAAGAAUUCAAGAGCAAUGUAACAACUUUGAUAGACAUGAAGCUCGA